Molecule: long non-coding RNA, 362 nt
Organism: Epinephelus fuscoguttatus (brown-marbled grouper)
Lineage: Eukaryota; Metazoa; Chordata; Actinopteri; Perciformes; Serranidae
Exons: 3
Source: RefSeq, a predicted model, not a curated record
GUUAACGUCACAGCUUUAACACAAGUUCGCCACAGGGAUCGGUCUAUUUACUGAAAAGGCAGAAAAACACAGUGGAACAACAUUCCAUUAAACCGCCUCUAUUUAACGUUAAAGCCAUGAACUGGACAUUCAGCGGACAGUUGUUAGCGUGAAAUUGGGAAGGAGAGGGGGGAUGACAUGCAGCAAAGGGCGACAUACUGGAAUCGAGCCAGCAGCUGCUGCGGCAAAGACAGGGCCCCUGCACAUGGGGCACCUGCUCCACCAGACACUGAUGAACACAAUAAUCCUAAUAUUAACAGAUCACCUGAAAUCCCCCUUUACUCCCCCCUGCAGGCCUCUUUAUGAAACACAGGUGAGCUGGC